This 570-nucleotide ribosomal RNA is filed under the name uncultured Glomeromycotina. RNAcentral's name for it is "SSU rRNA". It matches the Rfam family "Eukaryotic small subunit ribosomal RNA", at positions 548 to 1114 of the family's 1831-position model. The record is from RNAcentral. Lineage: Eukaryota; Fungi; Glomeromycota.
UUGGAGGGCAAGUCUGGUGCCAGCAGCCGCGGUAAUUCCAGCUCCAAUAGCGUAUAUUAAAGUUGUUGCAGUUAAAAAGCUCGUAGUUGAAUUUCGGGAUUGGCACAUCGGUCGUGCCUUAAGGGGCAUGAACUGGUGUAGCCAAUUUCUCACCUUCUGGAGAACCGCGAUGUCCUUAAUUGGGUGCCGCGAGGAACCAGGACCUUUACUUUGAAGAAAUUAGAGUGUUUAAAGCAGGCAUUUUGCUUGAAUACAUUAGCAUGGAAUAAUAAAAUAGGACGGAUGAUUCUAUUUUGUUGGUUUCUAGGACCACCGUAAUGAUUAAUAGGGAUAGUUGGGGGCAUUAGUAUUCAAUUGUCAGAGGUGGAAUUCUUGGAUUUAUUGAAGACUAACUACUGCGAAAGCAUUUGCCAAGGAUGUUUUCAUUAAUCAAGAACGAAAGUUAGGGGAUCGAAGACGAUCAGAUACCGUCGUAGUCUUAACCAUAAACUAUGCCGACUAGGAAUCAGACGAUGUUAAUUUUUUAAUGACUCGUUUGGCACCUUACGGGAAACCAAAGUGUUUGGGUUC